RNAcentral lists this ribosomal RNA (253 nucleotides) under uncultured bacterium. Its description in RNAcentral is "partial 16S ribosomal RNA". It matches the Rfam family "Bacterial small subunit ribosomal RNA", at positions 524 to 776 of the family's 1533-position model. The record is from RNAcentral.
UACGAAGGGUGCAAGCGUUACUCGGAAUUACUGGGCGUAAAGCGUGCGUAGGUGGUUUGUUAAGUCUGUUGUGAAAGCCCCGGGCUCAACCUGGGAAUGGCAAUGGAUACUGGCAGGCUAGAGUGCGGUAGAGGGUAGUGGAAUUCCCGGUGUAGCGGUGAAAUGCGUAGAGAUCGGGAGGAACACCAGUGGCGAAGGCGGCUCGCUGGCCUAAAACUGACGCUGAGGCGCGAAAGCGUGGGGAGCAAACAGG